This 303-nucleotide ribosomal RNA is filed under the name uncultured bacterium. RNAcentral's name for it is "partial 16S ribosomal RNA". It matches the Rfam family "Bacterial small subunit ribosomal RNA", at positions 507 to 807 of the family's 1533-position model. The record is from RNAcentral.
AGCAGUAGCCGCGGUAAAACGUAGGUGGCAAGCGUUGUUCGGAAUUAUUGGGCGUAAAGGGCUCGCAGGCGGUUUCUUAAGUCUGAUGUGAAAGCCCCCGGCUCAACCGGGGAGGGUCAUUGGAAACUGGGAAACUUGAGUGCAGAAGAGGAGAGUGGAAUUCCACGUGUAGCGGUGAAAUGCGUAGAGAUGUGGAGGAACACCAGUGGCGAAGGCGACUCUCUGGUCUGUAACUGACGCUGAGGAGCGAAAGCGUGGGGAGUGAACAGGAUUAGAUACCCCUGUAGUCCCUGUCUCUUAUAC